ACAGCAGUAGCCGCGGGAAUACAGAGGGUGCAAGCGUUAAUCGGAAUUACUGGGCGUAAAGCGCGCGUAGGUGGUUUGUUAAGUUGGAUGUGAAAUCCCCGGGCUCAACCUGGGAACUGCAUCCAAAACUGGCAAGCUAGAGUAUGGUAGAGGGUGGUGGAAUUUCCUGUGUAGCGGUGAAAUGCGUAGAUAUAGGAAGGAACACCAGUGGCGAAGGCGACCACCUGGACUGAUACUGAAACUGAGGUGCGAAAGCGUGGGGAGCAAACAGGAUUAGAUACCCGAGUAGUCCCUGUCUCUUAUAC
RNAcentral lists this ribosomal RNA (305 nucleotides) under uncultured bacterium. Its description in RNAcentral is "partial 16S ribosomal RNA". It matches the Rfam family "Bacterial small subunit ribosomal RNA", at positions 508 to 807 of the family's 1533-position model. The record is from RNAcentral.